This 496-nucleotide ribosomal RNA is filed under the name uncultured bacterium. RNAcentral's name for it is "partial 16S ribosomal RNA". It matches the Rfam family "Bacterial small subunit ribosomal RNA", at positions 30 to 523 of the family's 1533-position model. The record is from RNAcentral.
AUUGAACGCUGGCGGAAUGCUUUACACAUGCAAGUCGAACGGUAGAGGGGGCAACCCCUUGAGAGUGGCGAACGGGUGAGUAAUAUAUCGGAACGUGCCCAGUCGUGGGGGAUAACGUAGUGAAAAUUACGCUAAUACCGCAUACGAUCUAAGGAUGAAAGCGGGGGAUCGCAAGACCUCGCGCGAUUGGAGCGGCCGAUAUCAGAUUAGGUAGUUGGUAGGGUAAGGGCCUACCAAGCCAACGAUCUGUAGCUGGUCUGAGAGGACGACCAGACACACUGGAACGGAGACACAGGCAAGAGUCCCACGGGAGGCAGCAUUAGGGAAUUGUGGACAAUAGGCGAAAGCCUGAUCCAGCCAUUCCGCAUGCAGGAUGAAGGCCCUUGGGUUGUAAACUGCUUUUGUACAGAACGAAAAGGUCUCUAUUAAUACUAGGGGCUCAUGACGGUACUGUAAGAAUAAGCACCGGCUAACUACGUGCCAGCCGCCGCAGUAA